UCUGUUUCUAGUGGCGGACGGGUGAGUAACGCGUGGGUAACCUGCCUUAUACUGGGGGAUAACAGCCAGAAAUGGCUGCUAAUACCGCAUAAGCGCACAGAACCGCAUGGUUCCGUGUGAAAAACUCCGGUGGUAUAAGAUGGACCCGCGUUGGAUUAGCUAGUUGGCAGGGCAGCGGCCUACCAAGGCGACGAUCCAUAGCCGGCCUGAGAGGGUGAACGGCCACAUUGGGACUGAGACACGGCCCAGACUCCUACGGGAGGCAGCAGUGGGGAAUAUUGCACAAUGGGGGAAACCCUGAUGCAGCGACGCCGCGUGAAGGAAGAAGUAUUUCGGUAUGUAAAGCUCUAUCAGCAGGGAAGAUAAUGACGGUACCUGACUAAGAAGCUCCGGCUAAAUACGUGCCAGCAGCCGCGGUAAUACGUAUGGAGCAAGCGUUAUCCGGAUUUACUGGGUGUAAAGGGAGCGUAGGCGGUCCUGCAAGUCUGAUGUGAAAGGCCGGGGCUCAACCCCGGGACUGCAUUGGAAACUGUAGGACUAGAGUGUCGGAGGGGUAAGUGGAAUUCCUAGUGUAGCGGUGAAAUGCGUAGAUAUUAGGAGGAACACCAGUGGCGAAGGCGGCUUACUGGACGACUACUGA
RNAcentral lists this ribosomal RNA (640 nucleotides) under uncultured Lachnospiraceae bacterium. Its description in RNAcentral is "bacterial SSU rRNA". It matches the Rfam family "Bacterial small subunit ribosomal RNA", at positions 85 to 743 of the family's 1533-position model. Lineage: Bacteria; Bacillati; Bacillota; Clostridia; Lachnospirales; Lachnospiraceae. The record is from RNAcentral.